GUGAGUUUCUUUUACAUCAAG
Molecule: microRNA, 21 nt
Filed under: Panagrellus redivivus
Lineage: Eukaryota; Metazoa; Nematoda; Chromadorea; Rhabditida; Panagrolaimidae
Description: prd-miR-7946-5p
Source: miRBase by way of RNAcentral